GAUGAACGCUAGCGGCAGGCUUAACACAUGCAAGUCGAGGGGUAUAGUAGCAAUACUAGAGACCGGCGCACGGGUGCGUAACGCGUAUGCAAUCUACCUUUUACAGAGGGAUAGCCCAGAGAAAUUUGGAUUAAUGCCUCAUAGCAUAGCAGCUUCGCAUGAAGUCACUAUUAAAGUUCCAACGGUAAAAGAUGAGCAUGCGUCCUAUUAGCUAGAUGGUAAGGUAACGGCUUACCAUGGCUACGAUAGGUAGGGGUCCUGAGAGGGAGAUCCCCCACACUGGUACUGAGACACGGACCAGACUCCUACGGGAGGCAGCAGUGAGGAAUAUUGGACAAUGGGCGCAAGCCUGAUCCAGCCAUGCCGCGUGCAGGAAGACGCAUCUAUGGUGUGUAAACUGCUUUUGUACGGGAAGAAACACUCCCUCGUGAGGGAGCUUGACGGUACCGUAAGAAUAAGGAUCGGCUAACUCCGUGCCAGCAGCCGCGGUAAUACGGAGGAUCCGAGCGUUAUCCGGAAUCAUUGGGUUUAAAGGGUCCGUAGGCGGUUUGGUAAGUCAGUGGUGAAAGCCCAUCGCUUAACGAUGGAACGGCCAUUGAUACUGCCAGACUUGAAUUACUAGGAAGUAACUAGAAUAUGUAGUGUAGCGGUGAAAUGCUUAGAUAUUACAUGGAAUACCAAUUGCGAAGGCAGGUUACUACUAGUGGAUUGACGCUGAUGGACGAAAGCGUGGGGAGCGAACAGGAUUAGAUACCCUGGUAGUCCACGCCGUAAACGAUGGAUACUAGCUGUUCGGAGCAAUCUGAGUGGCUAAGCGAAAGUGAUAAGUAUCCCACCUGGGGAGUACGUUCGCAAGAAUG
This 860-nucleotide ribosomal RNA is filed under the name uncultured bacterium. RNAcentral's name for it is "bacterial SSU rRNA". It matches the Rfam family "Bacterial small subunit ribosomal RNA", at positions 28 to 896 of the family's 1533-position model. The record is from RNAcentral.